GUACCGUGUGUAGUCUCUGAAACAGGAGAAGUGGUAUCGUGCCUCACUAGCCACUAGGUCCCUGUCACGAAUGUGUAGAAACAGACUCUCAUCCUGUCUUUCUUCAGCAGCAAGAAGUAACUUCCCUGCAUGUUCACUGCAGCUAGAUGGGCAAAUGACUCCCUCCUGUGAUGGAAUCAAGUGGAUUCAGCUUUCAAGAUUCAGAUUUGAAGUUCAAGAUCCACAUUUACAGUUUCACACUGCAUGUUUGAUACCAAC
This is a long non-coding RNA of Epinephelus moara (kelp grouper), 258 nucleotides long. RefSeq lists it as uncharacterized. The record is from RefSeq and is a predicted model, not a curated record. The transcript is spliced from 3 exons. NCBI's taxonomy places the organism in Eukaryota, Metazoa, Chordata, Actinopteri, Perciformes, Serranidae.